CACCGCGGUUAUACGAGGGGCCCAAAUUGACACCUUACGGCGUAGAGUGUGAUUAAAGAUUCAUCCAAACUAAAGCCAAACAUCCCUUAUACUGUCAUACGCCAUGGGGGACACGAGGCCCAACAACGAAAGUGGCUUUAUAAGUCUUGAACUCACGACAGCUAAGGCA
Molecule: ribosomal RNA, 169 nt
Filed under: Gymnothorax sp. MParis0875
Lineage: Eukaryota; Metazoa; Chordata; Actinopteri; Anguilliformes; Muraenidae
Description: partial small subunit ribosomal RNA
Source: RNAcentral